RNAcentral lists this long non-coding RNA (366 nucleotides) under Rosa chinensis. RNAcentral's name for it is "sRNA RchiOBHm_Chr6g0302591". The record is from RNAcentral. Lineage: Eukaryota; Viridiplantae; Streptophyta; Magnoliopsida; Rosales; Rosaceae.
GGCGGUUUGUAGCAAAAUAUAUAUGGCUCAAAAUCCAAAAGCAAAUCCAAUCAACUGCGUGUUGUGUGUUAAGUACAGGGUAACAUAAGAACAUCAUAAUUCGACUAUUAUGGCCAUACAUGUUCACCCGCACGGCCGCACGCGAUGCCGCUCCAUGGUCGAACUCGAACCAAUAUGCAUGUAUGUUCCGAGAGGUCGAUCGUGUUUGCCGGACAGAGCGCGCCGUAUGUUUCCCGAGCGUGCAUUAAUGAAUUAAUGUAGGUGUGAAUGAACGAAGAAGCGAAAAUAGGGCAUUGAUGUUGUUCGAUCUGGACUUCUGGUAGAGAUAAAUAUUUAGAAGAAGAAGCACGUCCACACUCGACAGCG